GGAAGCACAAACGCAGAGAGCUGAGGGGCUGGCUUUGCUCCUCAGUAAGCGGAGGGCUCGGGCCAGCAGAUGUGGGACGGCUCUCCAGAAUGGCCAUGCGGCGCAGCUGUUAUGGGAUCCUUGGGCUGUCACUUUUCUGGCCAGAAACCUCCAUGGCCAGUGGCACCUUUGUCCAGUUUUGAUUGGGUCUGGGCUUGUGCUGCCCACUCGGCCUGGCAGGCUGUACUCAGCUCACGCUACCGGUCUGGAUCCCACGCCUGCCAAGGGCAAGUCAGGGCUCCUGCUGCUGUGGUGUGGGACCUUCGAGCAGCCUGUGGAAGUCAUCCUGUGAGGAACUGUGGCCUCCCCCAAGCAGCGCAUAUUGGAGGCAGAGGCUUCAGCCCCAGUCAAACCCUCAGAUGAUGGCAGCCCCAGCCAACGUCAUGACGCAGCCUCUGGAGAGACCCUGAGCCAGGGCCACCCACCCGAACUUACCCUGGAUCCUGACCCACAGAAACUGCAAGUCGAUAAAGGCACUGGGCUAAAUGCAUCAAAAGGAUCUCACCAUCUUCCCAGCAGCCCACAGGGAGCAGAGGUUUUCAUUACCAUCAUUCUCAGAGGACACGACUGGGGCUCAGAGAGGGGAAGAAACCUCUCCAGCUUGCACAGCUGAGUCAUUCCCCAAAUGGAUGAGACCCCAGCACAGGAGAAAUGCAUGACAGCCAGAUAAUAAACCUGCAUAUCAGAACUGUCAGAUCGUCUUCAGAGCAAAAGGCAACAUGCUCUCCCGAGGUAAGAUCCUAACUGUUGUCAGGAACAUAUGCCAGGGGUGGGGGGUGGGGAGCGGCUCAGGACGCGGCGCUGGCAGCCCCCAGCCCAUCAAAUUCACUCCAUCUAUCUCGGGCUG
This 886-nucleotide long non-coding RNA is filed under the name Homo sapiens (human). RNAcentral's name for it is "non-protein coding lnc-TBC1D22A-1:1". Lineage: Eukaryota; Metazoa; Chordata; Mammalia; Primates; Hominidae. The record is from RNAcentral.